CCUAGGAAAUGAGAAAACUCGGC
RNAcentral lists this microRNA (23 nucleotides) under Caenorhabditis elegans. RNAcentral's name for it is "cel-miR-1830-3p". The record is from miRBase by way of RNAcentral. Lineage: Eukaryota; Metazoa; Nematoda; Chromadorea; Rhabditida; Rhabditidae.